Molecule: ribosomal RNA, 279 nt
Filed under: uncultured bacterium
Lineage: Bacteria
Description: partial 16S ribosomal RNA
Rfam family: Bacterial small subunit ribosomal RNA
Source: RNAcentral
UGCCAGCCGCCGCGGUAACACGGGGGGCGCAAGCGUUAUUCGGAAUUAUUGGGCGUAAAGCGCGUGUAGGCGGUUCGUUAAGUCUGAUGUGAAAGCCCGGGGCUCAACCUGGGAAUUGCGUUUAAUACUGGUGAGCUAGAGUACGAGAGAGGAAAGUGGAAUUCCUAGUGUAGAGGUGAAAUUCGUAGAUAUUAGGAAGAACACCAGUGGCGAAGGCGACUUUCUGGCUCGUAACUGACGCUGAGGCACGAAAGCGUGGGGAGCAAACAGGAUUAGAUA